UACGUAGGGGGGCAAGCGUUGUCCGGAAUCAUUGGGCGUAAAGAGCGUGUAGGCGGCCCGAUAAGUCCGCUGUGAAAGUCCAGGGCUCAACCCUGGGAUGCCGGUGGAUACUGUCGGGCUCGAGUCCGGAAGAGGCGAGUGGAAUUCCUGGUGUAGCGGUGAAAUGCGCAGAUAUCAGGAGGAACACCAAUGGCGAAGGCAGCUCGCUGGGACGUGACUGACGCUGAGACGCGAAAGCGUGGGGAGCAAACAGG
This 254-nucleotide ribosomal RNA is filed under the name uncultured bacterium. Its description in RNAcentral is "partial 16S ribosomal RNA". It matches the Rfam family "Bacterial small subunit ribosomal RNA", at positions 524 to 776 of the family's 1533-position model. The record is from RNAcentral.